GCCCCUGUAGCUCAAUGGUUUGAGCCCCACGUUUCUACGUUGGAGGUUGAGGGUUCAAAUCCCUCCAGGGGCA
Molecule: transfer RNA, 73 nt
Filed under: Globisporangium ultimum DAOM BR144
Lineage: Eukaryota; Oomycota; Peronosporomycetes; Pythiales; Pythiaceae
Description: Pythium ultimum DAOM BR144 tRNA
Rfam family: tRNA
About the family: Transfer RNA (tRNA) molecules are approximately 80 nucleotides in length. Their secondary structure includes four short double-helical elements and three loops (D, anti-codon, and T loops). Further hydrogen bonds mediate the characteristic L-shaped molecular structure. tRNAs have two regions of fundamental functional importance: the anti-codon, which is responsible for specific mRNA codon recognition, and the 3' end, to which the tRNAs corresponding amino acid is attached (by aminoacyl-tRNA synthetases). tRNAs cope with the degeneracy of the genetic code in two manners: having more than one tRNA (with a specific anti-codon) for a particular amino acid; and 'wobble' base-pairing, i.e. permitting non-standard base-pairing at the 3rd anti-codon position.
Source: Rfam by way of RNAcentral